UACGUAGGUGGCAAGCGUUGUCCGGAUUUACUGGGCGUAAAGAGCGCGCAGGCGGUCGUUCAAGUCGCGUGUGAAAGCCCCCCGGCUCAACUGGGGAGGGUCACGACGAUACUGAUCGACUCGAAGGCAGGAGAGGGAAGUGGAAUUCCCGGUGUAGUGGUGAAAUGCGUAGAUAUCGGGAGGAACACCAGUGGCGAAGGCGACUUCCUGGCCUGUUCUUGACGCUGAGGCGCGAAAGCUAGGGGAGCAAACGGGG
Molecule: ribosomal RNA, 256 nt
Filed under: uncultured bacterium
Lineage: Bacteria
Description: partial 16S ribosomal RNA
Rfam family: Bacterial small subunit ribosomal RNA
Source: RNAcentral